AACGGGGGGAAUUAGCGUUAGCCGUCUUUACUGGGCGUAAAGGGUUUGUAGGUGGUUUUAUUUGCUUUAUUUUUAAUAUUAUAUUAAUUUAUUAUAAUAAAGGACGAUAUAACUUUGAGUAUAGUAGAGGUUAACCGUAUUCUUCAUGAAGAAGUGAAAUGCAAUGAAAUGAACGGAGACGAACAUAAGGCGUAGGCAGUUAACUAAACUAAUACUGACGUUGAGGAACGAAAGCGUGGGGAUCAAAUCGG
Molecule: ribosomal RNA, 251 nt
Filed under: uncultured bacterium
Lineage: Bacteria
Description: partial 16S ribosomal RNA
Rfam family: Bacterial small subunit ribosomal RNA
Source: RNAcentral